UGGGGCGUAGCCAAGCGGUAAGGCAGCGGGUUUUGGUCCCGCCAUCCGGGGGU
This 53-nucleotide transfer RNA is filed under the name Candidatus Peregrinibacteria bacterium CG10_big_fil_rev_8_21_14_0_10_54_7. Its description in RNAcentral is "tRNA-Gln". The record is from RNAcentral. Lineage: Bacteria; Candidatus Peregrinibacteriota.